GCCAUGUGUCCCCUAACCCUGUCACCGGGUCCCAGCCACCUCACGGGGACACUGUCCCCGUGGCCCCUGGGGUUCCAGCCCCCCCCCCCAUGGGGCUGUAGGAGCUGAGCUGGGGGACCCUGGGUGGGUGGCUGCAAGCGGGCACCGCUCAGCUCCGUGCCUCAGUUUCCCUUUGUGCCCAGGUCUUCCAGGCACCCUGCUGGGAGCUGGGGCACCCCUACGGCGGGGGGAACGGGGAGGUCCCAGAUACCCGGGUCCACGUCCCCAGGGCACCUUGGCACCCCGGGGCACGGGGUUGCCCCCGACGGUGCUGAGCUGGCAUGGGAUUACGCUAAUCCCUGCUCUGGCUCAGCCGGAGCUGGCGGGGUCACCGGGGCUGGCACCGAGGGGACAACCUGGGGUCACCCCGGCUGGCACCGAGGGGUGCCCCAGGAAUGGUGCCUGGCCUUGGUGGGUGCUGCAGGAGGGGGGUCCCCAGCACUGGGUGGGGGUGGCCAGGGGGUGGCAGGUCCCCAGGGAAGUCCCGCUGACUCUGCCCGUCCGUCUCUUGCAGCCCCUCGGUCACCAGGAUGGUGAGUGGCCCCCAGGUGGGGGGAACCGGGCAGAGGUGGGUGCCCCAUCCCGGUGGGGCACGGCCCCGGUGAGCCCCGGCGGUGCCGGGCACUGCUGUAGGGAAGCGGGCGGCGUGGCGAGCUGUGCCCACCCGCCGCGUGACCCCGUGGGGACAAGGGGACGCUUUGUCCGGGAGCUGGCGGCCACGGCGGCUGGCACUGCCCCGCCAUCCCCGAGGCGGUGGCUCUGUGCCCGGCACCCGCAGCCCCCCAGCACCCUGACACCCCCACCCACGAGUGGGCAGCGGCGCCCUGUGCCCCUCUGCCCCGUGGCAGCCCCUUACCCCCGCGGCCGCCCCAUGUCCCUCAUGCCAGCAUCCUACCGCCGUGCCCACCCAGCGUCUGCCCCAAUGCCGGCUGCACACCAGUCCCAUGCCAGUCCCGUGCCAGCCCCUUAGCCCUGUGCCAGCCCCAUGUCAACCCCCUGCCAACCCAGUAGUCCCAUGCCAGUCCCAUUCCAGUCCCUUAACCCCAUGCCAGCCCCAUGCCAACCCAUUAG
Molecule: long non-coding RNA, 1110 nt
Filed under: Aquila chrysaetos chrysaetos
Lineage: Eukaryota; Metazoa; Chordata; Aves; Accipitriformes; Accipitridae
Description: lncRNA (ENSACCG00020011195.1)
Source: RNAcentral